GUGAGGAAUAUUGCACAAUGGGCGAAAGCCUGAUGCAGCAACGCCGCGUGAGUGAUGAAGGCCUGUGGGGCGUAAAACUCUGUCCUUGGGGAAGAAAAAAAUGACGGUACCCUUGGAGGAAGCCCCGGCGAACUACGUGCCAGCAGCCGCGGUAAUACGUAGGGGGCAAGCGAUAUCCGGAAUUAUGGGGCGUAAAGAGUGCGUAGGUGGUUUUGUAAGCGUAGGGUGAAAGGCAGUAGCUCAACUAUAGUUAGCCCUGCGAACUGUGAGACUUGAGUCCAGGCGAGGAAAGUGGAAUUCCUAGUGUAGCGGUGAAAUGCGUAGAUAUUAGGAGGAACACCAGUGGCGAAGGCGACUUUCUGGACUGUAACUGACACUGAGGCACGAAAGCGUGGGUAGCAAACAGGAUUAGAUACCCGUGUAGUCC
Molecule: ribosomal RNA, 427 nt
Filed under: uncultured bacterium
Lineage: Bacteria
Description: partial 16S ribosomal RNA
Rfam family: Bacterial small subunit ribosomal RNA
Source: RNAcentral